AUUUUUCCUAUACAGUAGCUACUUGAUUGAACACAGAACAAGUGUUUAAAGAUGGAACUCGGAAGUCCAACGAAACUCAACUGUUUCAUCUUUCUUCAUUGACGCAUGGCGGCAACUGUGUCGGUGAGUGGUGGCUCCUCCUCGGAAUCGGCAUUGAUUUUCAUGGGGACAGGCUGCUCCAGCGCCAUCCCCUAUCCGAGGUGCCUCAUCUCUCCCUCCCAUCCUCCCUGUCACGUUUGCUUCCAAUCGCUCUCUCUCCCUCCCAACCGAAACCCUAAUUACAGGUGUAAUGCGUCCCUCUUAAUCGAUUAUUGCGAAAGCCACGGCAAUCACCGCUAUAUUCUCAUUGAUGCUGGCAAGACUUUCAGGGAAACGGUGCUUAGGUGGUUUCUUCAUCAUCAGAUUCCAAGAAUAGAUUCUAUUGUUUUGACUCAUGAGCAUGCUGAUGCUGUCCUUGGAUUGGAUGAUGUGCGUAGUAUUCAACCAGUUAGUCCCACAAAUGAUAUUGAUCCUACUCCCGUGUACUUGACUCAGCAUUCAAUGACUAGCUUGGAAACCAAAUUUCCUUAUUUGGUAAACAAAAAACUCAAAGAAGGGCAAGAAAUACGAAGGGUAGCUCAAUUUUCCUGGAACAUAAUUGCUGAAGACUGCAAUCAACCAUUUUUUGCAUCAGGCUUAAAAUUGACUCCUUUACCAGUAAUGCAUGGAGAGGAUUACAUCUGUUUGGGCUUUCUCUUUGGUGACAAAAGUAAGGUAGCUUAUUUAUCUGAUGUCUCACGGAUUCCAGCUACCACGGAUUAUGUCAUUUCAAAAAGUGGGGCUGGACAGUUGGAUCUUCUGAUAUUGGAUUCGUUGUAUAAGACUGGAUCAAAUAAGUUUCACCUUUGUCUUCCACAGACGCUUGAAACUGUGAAGAUGUUAUGUCCAAAACAAGCCCUACUGAUUGGAAUGAAUCACGAGUUUGAUCACCAUCAGGACAAUGAAUUAUUAAUGGAGUGGUCUAGAAGGUACAUUGCUUGUCCAUCUUGACAUAGUAAAAGCUUAGCUGUUAAAAAUAAAUCAGGCGAAGCACCCAUGGGAAGGAAUUCUAGUGCAGCUGGCUCAUGAUGGUUUGAGAGUCCCCAUAAACUUAUAGUAAGGGUAAUGCAUAUGGGGAUGUGCUUAGUUCACCGUUUACUCGUGCUUUACAGUGAGUUCGAGUUCAAUGAUGCAUGCUUUCUUUGCUGGAUUAUAUGCAAGCAAUUGUUGGGGAACAAUCCUAAUGCGAAUCUUUCUUCUCCCUUAAAUUUUUUAUUAAAAGAAAUUACUUUUCAUAUUAUAUAAUUAUAUUGGAGAACACUGAAAUACUUUGUGACAUUGUCUUCUGUUUAAUCUGUUUAUACUGCAGCCAGAGGAAUCUAAAAUCCUUAGUGUAAAAACUGCUUUGUUAAUUCGAAUAAAAUGGGAUCCUACCAAGGGAUUCGAGGAUAGAAGUUCUUCAAACUAGCGUUUUGUUCCCCUCUAAAUAUGAGAUUAUGAUUUUUGUAUGGAUGAUAACAAUUUUGCCUUCA
This is a non-coding RNA of Arachis ipaensis, 1550 nucleotides long. The record is from RefSeq and is a predicted model, not a curated record. Lineage: Eukaryota; Viridiplantae; Streptophyta; Magnoliopsida; Fabales; Fabaceae.